GCAGCCACCUUUUAAAACGCGUCAAAGCGUAACCUAAACCCCCCCAAAUACCAUUAAUUUUCAUGAACCCCUAAUUUAUAAUGAAUGACUCCAUAUUUAUAUGGAAGACACCAUGCUAGGAUUAGUAACAAGAAUUUAUAAUUCUCCAAAAUGCAAAUAUAAACCAACAUGGAUUGACCAUUGGUAGUUACCGAACCUAAAUUUACUGCAAUAACACCCACAAGAAAACUCUGCAGUACUUACUCGUUAACCUAACACCAGCGCAUUACAGGAAAGAUUUAAAAAAAGAGAAGGAAUUCGGCAAAUGACGGCCCCGCCUGUUUACCAAAAACAUCGCCUCUUGACUUAUAAUAAGAGGUCCAGCCUGCCCAGUGAAUUUUAAACGGCCGCGGUAUCCUAACCGCGCGAAGGUAGCAUAAUCACUUGUUCUUUAAAUGGGGACUCGUAUCAACGGCAUCACGAGGGUUUUACUGUCUCCUCUUUUUGAUCAGUGAAAUUGAUCUUCCCGUGAAGAAGCGGGAAUAUUUUUAUAAGACGAGAAGACCCCAUGGAGCUUUAAACCAAAUAACAACUUAACUACUUAUCCCACAAUAAAUUUAAGCCCUGUUAUAAGGUUUUUGGUUGGGGUGACCGCGGAGUAAAGCACAUCCUCCACGACGGAAAGAACAUAAUCUUUAUUUAAGAACCACACUUCUAGAAAUUAGUAUACUAACGUUUACUGACCCGACAAUCGAUCAACGGACCAAGUUACCCUGGGGAUAACAGCGCAAUCUACUUCAAGAGCUCAUAUCGACAAGUAGGCUUACGACCUCGAUGUUGGAUCAGGGUAUCCCGGUGGUGCAGCCGCUACCGAAGGUUCGUUUGUUCAACGAUUAAAACCCUACGUGAUCUG
This 892-nucleotide ribosomal RNA is filed under the name Polypedates leucomystax (Java whipping frog). Its description in RNAcentral is "partial 16S ribosomal RNA". It matches the Rfam family "Bacterial large subunit ribosomal RNA", at positions 1112 to 2607 of the family's 2925-position model. Lineage: Eukaryota; Metazoa; Chordata; Amphibia; Anura; Rhacophoridae. The record is from RNAcentral.